GGAGCAAUGAUGACAAAUAAAUACCAUGAAGAAAGAUGAUAACAUAAUAAUCAUGCUAAAUAAAUUACUAAGAAGCCC
Molecule: small nucleolar RNA, 78 nt
Organism: Peromyscus leucopus (white-footed mouse)
Lineage: Eukaryota; Metazoa; Chordata; Mammalia; Rodentia; Cricetidae
Product: small nucleolar RNA SNORD115
Exons: 1
Source: RefSeq, a predicted model, not a curated record